UGCUGAAAAGCCAUGUCUCCUUUUCCUGAUGAACCUCCAAACCUCCAGUGCUACAAGUCAGUGAUGAAAUAACCAUCCUCUGUGUAAAGCUUUUAGUGCUGAAUGUGAAAAAAUUCUCCGGGCUGCCAGCAGGUGGGAUUCAUGAUCAAACAGGAUAUAGCAACUUGCACCUGGAUUGCAAGGAUUUCUUUGAGUAUGGAGCUCAGCACUCUUAUGAGAGACAACUGGAAAACAGGGCAGCUCAAGCUGGGAUUCAGAGCUGUCUUGGCAAUUCAGGAUUUGGAGGAUGAAGAAAGCAAUGUCCAUCCUCUCCCGGGUUUAACCCUAUUAAUGAUUACUACAGAGCAAACAGGAAAUGCAGUGUGGUUGUUAACACUGCUCUUUCAACUAUCUGAGAUGAAGCACUGGUGUCAGAGCUACUCACUCUCACUAAAGUCUUACAUUUUCUCCCCUUGUAUUGGUUUUGAUCUGAGUAAAAUUAAGUCAAGAAAUAAAACUCCUCCCCUUAUUUAGCAUCCUAGAGAUGUAGCCGAAAGUCCUUCUGCCUUUGCCUACUGCCAUCACUUUGCUAAAGGGUAAAUAACUGAAGAGCUACCUGUAGGGAGAGUCAAUGGAUUCUCCAUGUAGCUCUUCUGAAAACAAGUAUUACUUGCUUCCGUAGACCUUCUGAAUGUUCUGCAUAAUUAGCUUAGAAUGAAAUAUCCGAGUAUCAUCUUGAGCACUGUGAAAAAGUUCAUACAGUAACUGUGAGCAUUUCUUGCCUAUCGCAGUAUAAACUGCAUGACUUUAAACUUAGUAGUUGUUGCUCUGCUGAGCAGCCCGGCACCUCCUCAUGUCCCAGUUAAUGCACUUAGCUUGCUGUCAGUUCAUGUUUUCUUGCAGCCAGUUGUGCUAGUGCAGUUAAACAGGAAGCAGUGAUGAGGUAUUUCUUUGCAAGAUCUGAUUUUAACAGGCUAUAGUACAAUGCUUUUACUGACACUUUAUGAUAUAUUAUCAAAGCAAUGCGAACCAAAAUGUGUUUGCCAAGGUUUGAAAUUAUUCUAAUAUGUUUUAUAGUGUUGUCCUUUCUUUAAUUCCUUUGCAUCCAGAUCCAGCAAAGCACUUAAAGCGCUGUGAGAGUUCUUUGACAAUCCAUUUCCUUGCUGUUGUUGUCCCUCUAUAUCCCUGUUUGGGAAUUACAGCUCUGUCAGCAACGAAGUUUUUAAAGUCAAUUGUGUGUUCCUUGUGAUUUCUGUGAGGAAUGACUCCCCCAGAAACCCUUUGGUUAAUGCAUGAAAUUGAGAUGUG
Molecule: long non-coding RNA, 1287 nt
Filed under: Coturnix japonica (Japanese quail)
Lineage: Eukaryota; Metazoa; Chordata; Aves; Galliformes; Phasianidae
Description: lncRNA (ENSCJPG00005010081.1)
Source: RNAcentral